CGAAUGGUACCAGAAAGGACCAUAUCGAUAUGUGGUCAAAGCGCUGAGCAAAAGAUUUAUACCUGAACGCUUGUACCUUUAAAGGACUGAGACGGAAAG
Regulatory RNA element from Desulfosporosinus sp. Tol-M, 99 nucleotides. It matches the Rfam family "pan motif". Lineage: Bacteria; Bacillati; Bacillota; Clostridia; Eubacteriales; Desulfitobacteriaceae. The record is from Rfam.